UCGAGGGGCAACACGGGUAGCAAUACCUGGUGGCGACCGGCGCAAGGGUGCGUAACGCGUGAGCAACAUGCCCUAUACAGGGGGAUAAUCCAGGGAAACUUGGUCUAAUAUCCCAUAGUAUUUAGAGGUGGCAUCACCACUAAAUUAAAGCUUCGGUGGUAUAGGAUUGGCUCGCGUGACAUUAGCUGGAUGGUGGGGUAACGGCUCACCAUGGCGAUGAUGUCUAGGGGUUCUGAGAGGAAGACCCCCCACACUGGGACUGAGACACGGCCCAGACUCCUACGGGAGGCAGCAGUGAGGAAUAUUGGACAAUGGAUGGAAAUCUGAUCCAGCCAUGCCGCGUGCAGGAAGACGGCCCUAUGGGUUGUAAACUGCUUUUAUAUGGGAGCAAUAAGGUUUACGCGUAGACCGAUGAGAGUACCAUAUGAAUAAGCAUCGGCUAACUCCGUGCCAGCAGCCGCGGUAAUACGGAGGAUGCGAGCGUUAUCCGGAUUUAUUGGGUUUAAAGGGUGCGUAGGCGGCCUUGUAAGUCAGCGGUGAAAUUUUGCAGCUUAACUGUAACAGUGCCGUUGAUACUGCGGGGCUAGGAUUUGGUUGCUGUGGGUGGAAUGUGUGGUGUAGCGGUGAAAUGCUUAGAUAUCACACAGAAUAUCGAUUGCGAA
Molecule: ribosomal RNA, 662 nt
Filed under: uncultured bacterium
Lineage: Bacteria
Description: bacterial SSU rRNA
Rfam family: Bacterial small subunit ribosomal RNA
Source: RNAcentral